AUACGUAGGUGGCGAGCGUUGUCCGGAAUUACUGGGUGUAAAGGGCGCGUAGACGGGUGCGUAAGUCAGAUGUGAAAUACCGGGGCUCAACUCCGGGGCUGCAUUUGAAACUAUGUAUCUUGAGUGCAGGAGAGGUAAGUGGAAUUCCUAGUGUAGCGGUGAAAUGCGUAGAUAUUAGGAGGAACACCAGUUGCGAAGGCGGCUCUCUGGACUGUAACUGACACUGAGGCACGAAAGCGUGGGGAGC
Molecule: ribosomal RNA, 247 nt
Filed under: uncultured bacterium
Lineage: Bacteria
Description: partial 16S ribosomal RNA
Rfam family: Bacterial small subunit ribosomal RNA
Source: RNAcentral